RNAcentral lists this long non-coding RNA (622 nucleotides) under Homo sapiens (human). RNAcentral's name for it is "HSALNT0378484". Lineage: Eukaryota; Metazoa; Chordata; Mammalia; Primates; Hominidae. The record is from RNAcentral.
AGCAGUCUCAGCUGUAAAAAUAGAGUCCCCAGGGAAUACUGAUAGCCUUUUUCCAAUAAAGCGAAAUCUAUUUGCAAUAAUAGGUAUAUGCAAAGACCUCCUGAAAUUACAGGAGCAAACUCCUUCCGCAUCUCGACCUAAUUAAGAUCCGUUACUCAACAGUGAUCAGUCAGAUUUUACUGUAAGAAGGAAGAAAACAAGGAUCCUGCUAGAACAACAUGGAAACAGGCUGAUCUUAGGACCUACAACAAAGAGAUUUCUCACUGGCUUCCUGGUGGUUCAUUCAAUAGGGAAUUCCUGCAGCAAGUUGGAGGGAGGGAGGAGAAGCAGCAUUGAAGAUGGUUUCCAAUAUCCAGAUGGACAGGCUGACCAUGAGUGCAAAUCUUCUUGUCCUUAGGAAAAAAAACUUCAAAGGGUAGACAACAGCCAAAUACCGAUCAACGGCAAUGCAGGAAAGACACACACAGAGAUCCAAUAUUGGCUGGAAUGCUGACUAUAAUCACAAAGAUGUAAACAAUGGGAAACAAAUAGUGAUCCAGGUCAUGCUGUUCUUCAAUACAUGUGCUGUUCAUUUUUUCCUUUUUAAGGUAGCAAUUAUAUUAGUUCUUAGAAAGUAAACAGA